GACACUUCUUUGUUCAUUCCUGUCUCCCCAGGUUGAUGUCAACAUCUCACAGGUGGUGAAUAUGCACAAUAAAAGUCUUCAAGUUACAGAAUUGCUUAACUCUGUGCAACCCACUCAAACAGCAUGGUGCUGCCUGGCCAAGGCAGAGGGUGUCUUCAAUGUCAGAACAAAGUGGAUUCUUCUUCAGCCUCGGGAGGAAAUCAGUAUUGGACUCAACCUGUCAUAUUGAUCAUGGUGAGUGACUGGUUUAAAAAUGG
RNAcentral lists this long non-coding RNA (257 nucleotides) under Fukomys damarensis (Damara mole-rat). RNAcentral describes it as "lncRNA (ENSFDAG00000025390.1)". Lineage: Eukaryota; Metazoa; Chordata; Mammalia; Rodentia; Bathyergidae. The record is from RNAcentral.